GACAAACGCUGGCGGGGUGCAUGAGACAUGCAAGUCGAACGAGGUGCCAUCGGGCUUGCUCGAUGGCUACCUAGUGGCGGACGGCUGAGUAACGCGUAGGUGACCUACCCGGAAGUGGGGAAUAACUGCCCGAAAGGGUGGCUAAUACCGCAUGUGGUCGGCGAUUCGAUUCGCCGUCUAAAGGAACAAUUCGCUUCCGGAGGGGCCUGCGUCCGAUUAGCUAGUUGGUGGGGUAACGGCNCACCAAGGCGACGAUCGGUAGCUGGUCUGAGAGGAUGAUCAGCCAGACUGGGACUGAGAACGGCCCAGACUCCUACGGGAGCAGCAGUCGGAAUUUUGUCCCAACUGGACGAAAGUACUGAGGCAGCAACUCCGCGUGAGGGA
Molecule: ribosomal RNA, 384 nt
Filed under: uncultured bacterium
Lineage: Bacteria
Description: bacterial SSU rRNA
Rfam family: Bacterial small subunit ribosomal RNA
Source: RNAcentral